Non-coding RNA from Zonotrichia albicollis (white-throated sparrow), 1421 nucleotides. NCBI's taxonomy places the organism in Eukaryota, Metazoa, Chordata, Aves, Passeriformes, Passerellidae. The record is from RefSeq and is a predicted model, not a curated record.
GGAGGGUUUAACAUCCCGCUGCCAAAUCCAAAGCAGUGCAGGAAGAGCAGGUUCCCAAACUAAGCUGAGGAAUAGGGUUUCCAUGUGAGGGGUUGAGCUCCUUGUGGAAUCCUUAGCGACUGAGGACAAAUUAAGGCACUUUCGUGUUGUGUUUGGGCAGGUUGGGCUGCACAAGCAGUGUGGUGGGCAAUGAUUUCCAUCUUCUAGAGAUCAAGACAAAUGGGUUUAAGUUAGUUUUCCGCUCCCUACAAUAGUUCUUCCCAAUUCCAGGCAGGUGGCUGUUCUAGAGCACAGGGCCCUUCAGUGGAGGUGGAGAGAGCUCCCAGAGCUGAUGAUCAUCGCGCUCCAGAGCAGCCCUGACCGGCAGAACCUUUAGAAGUCUGAAACUUGGAAAGGACUGAGAGCAGAAGAUUAUCCAUUGUGACCUGUUCCUGCAAUUUGUCUGCAAUAAAGACUGGCUUACACAGAAGGGAAAACAUCGAUUGUACCUCUUGAACUUUCUCCCAUUCCUUUCUGUUCUGGAUUCCCUCUCUUCACAUCAGUAGUUUGUGACUGGAUCACAUGAUGGUAUUUCCAGUACUUCCAGUGCUGUACUUGCUCUGUGUGGAAAGCAUUGCUGAGGUGCCCUGGGCCUUUGCAUUUCAAACACUGGAUUUGUAACAUUUUAUAUAUUUAAUCACCAUCAAGUAGAGUGUUUGGAUCCAAGAUAUUUAGAGCAACUGUCUGUACUAUUGCAACCCACUCAGGGCCCUGAGGGAGACCUAUGAACAGAGAGAAGGCUCAGAUUUAUUUGAGUAACUCAGCAUUGCCAAAUACUUUGGUUUGCUCCAGCUGCUGGAGAAGUAUUGGGGAGAUCUAACCAGAGAACAUGGUGUUAGAAAAGAUCUGUUUAAAGAUUCAGGAAAAUGCUGCUGCUUUCUCCUCUGAGCACCAGAACUGUGAAGAAAACCUAACUUAUGUUAAGUAUGAGGUAGAAAUCAAUAUCUGAAACAUUCUUCAAAAACAGAAUUGAAGGCUUACAUCCUUUUAAGCUCAUGGCAGGAAGAGCCUCUUCUUUGCUUGAACAAGUUACUGUUUACAGCAAUUUUUUCUUUGCUUGAAUGAGUUACUGUUUACAGCAAUUUUAAUAAAGUAUCUCCUGGCAAAAAGACUAAGUUGUAACAUCUCCAAACCUUUUAUAGAUGAAAGAGCGUCCUUCAAAAUGCACGCUGCUCAGUUAAACCUUGGUAGCAUGUGUUGUGACACGGGUGCCUAGUCUUUGAUAGACUGUAUUAAGCCUUUUCCAUUUUAUCUUGAUAACAUUUAGUUCCUUCCACUUUUGGGAUGUUUCUCUUCUGUACUUUCCCAUUUUUUUUUCUCCUCCUGGAAACAAACAACCCAAAGCAUUAUUCUGUCACUUGGCAGCUCUCAGGAGCUUUACU